CAUGAAGAAGAGUUCCCUCCUCCUCCUCCUCCUGCUUCUCCUGCUCAGAGUUCCUGCCUCCAGCUGCCAGGGGGGACAGCCAGCCAGCAGCAGGAGGUUGUGCACUCUAGGAAGAAAGGCUUUUCAUAGGCAUACUUUGUAAGGGGUUCCUUAAGUCGAGGAGCUCAGAUAUAGCCUUUCAGAGAGGCUACUCAUCAACACCAACAUCUGCAGCUUUAUUGAGGUAAAGGGGACCGAAACUGAGGCUGAGAUGUGUAAGCAUGCUUUUCAGUGCUUAUGCUGUUUGUUUACAUUUGCUGUUCACUCACGUUUGGGCAGUAGAAAUAAAUAGGUCAGCUUUUCUUCGGUUUUUGAAAGCUAGUCCCCUCUCUUUUUUCAGUUUCACAAUUUACUUGGUUUACAGCCUUGUAGGAAACCAUUACUACAUUUUUACUGGAAAUACUAUUAUUCAUGUUAAUUUCGGUAAGUUCUUUCUUUUUCUCUUCUUAAGUCUUCACUUGUGUGUGAAAUCUGUGUCGUGGGCUUAACACUGGCUUAUUAGGAGCCAUGUAAAAUGUCUGAAGAAUGCAUUUUAAAAUACCGGAAUGUAGCUUUUGAUGGCAAAGAGGAAAUUUUUGUGCACAAUUUACACUCAUUUUUUUUUUAAUUUGUGCUUAAGACUUUUGUAAAUGUGCAACUAUCUUUAAGUGAAGAACAUAGUAAUAAUGCAGGAAAUUCUUAAAACACAAAUAUUAAUAUUUUAGGUGCUUUUUUAAAAUCAGACUUUUGCUUUAGAUAACGUAUUUACAGCUUGACUGGCAUUGUGGGCUGCCCAUAAUAAAGUCUUUUGCUUGAGU
Molecule: long non-coding RNA, 836 nt
Filed under: Heterocephalus glaber (naked mole-rat)
Lineage: Eukaryota; Metazoa; Chordata; Mammalia; Rodentia; Bathyergidae
Description: lncRNA (ENSHGLG00100036142.1)
Source: RNAcentral